Anser brachyrhynchus (Pink-footed goose) is the source of this 3502-nucleotide long non-coding RNA. The record is from Ensembl. Lineage: Eukaryota; Metazoa; Chordata; Aves; Anseriformes; Anatidae.
GUUGUCACCAAGAGCUGUUUUCUGCUGCUGUUGGAUCUGGCCGUGGAGCAAACAGUAGAUGAUUCAGAUCAGACACUUCCCAGGAAGCUGGACUGGCUGAGGCUUAAACAGAGUCGUGGGAAGAGAUUUGGACAUUCAGAUUUCAAAAAACAUUGCAAACCUUUCCACUGGGAUCUCCACAAGUGGAGGCUAGAAAAAGGCAGCCAGCAAAGGCUUUGGGCAGACUGCUUCUGCUGCAAGCUGGCAGAGGAGCCCCCAGCACAGUGCACAACAGUCCUGGUUACAGCCUGCAGCCUUGUGCUCCUGCCCGCAGUCUGGAAGUACUUGACUCCAGCAGGUGAGAUGCCGACUGUGAAAGACACAGUGCUCACUCUUCCAUCCCCACAGUUGCAGCCUGAACAUAACCAGUAUCACAGAAAAGGUGUCAACUAUCAACAUACUUCCUUUUUGAGGUUAGAAAAUAUUUCAAUUCAGCUUUUCUCCCAUCUGGAAAUACCGCUUCAUUUGUUAUUUUCAGUUUCUCCUGAAAUGUUUUAGACUCCUGUUCUUUGGUAAAUGGAUCCGUUGAAGAUGACUGUGCAGUAACCUCUGGGCUAACGAUCCCUGGAGGGACUGUGUUGAGGGGAUUUCUGUCUCCAGAGCUGGCAGGAUUUGUUACCUGUUAGAAGGCAGCAGUGUGCUUACAGGUGGCUACAGAUAGUUCAGCCACCAGGAGGAGAUAAAGACUCACUGUUUUACAGCGCGUCCUCUUUGGACCACUUUGCUCAGUGCCUGCCGGUUGGUUGAACUGUUUGCAGCCACCUUUAAAGCAGAGUUAGAAGGGAGAUGAUAAUGCUAGACAGAAAAAUGGGCAAGUUUGGGAGGAGCAGAUUCUGGGUCACUUCUGUAGUGCCUCGUGGUACACACACAGUCUUGAUGGAGUUUCAGGACAUGACUGAAGGAGGUGCUCACAUCCAUGAUUAAGUGAGGAAGGCACUGCUUGUAGGAUGUCUUCUGGUCAGUUCUCAGAUAUGCUGGAGGCUGAGCAUUUGCUAUAUCAGCUUACCAAGGAAAACUGUGCAGAGCCAGGGAAGGAGGAUAACAUCAUUUUCUUAAACUCAAGCAAGCACACAGGACAGCUCUGUUAAGACAGCAAGAUGGUCAGCCAUGGAUCCAAGGCAGCUGCCCUACACCUUUCCAGGGCACUGGUAGUUGGGAGGAGAGGAUACAAGAAGAGAGGAGCAAAGUGACAGAGAAAUGAUCUGUGCAUAACAACAUCAUUUGUAUAGUGUAGAGUCAGGUGAGUCAUUGCCUGUGAACCUGAGCAUUGUGAACCUGAGCCUAAGCAUUUCCAGUAUAGGUUGGAGCAGAUGAGGAGCUGCUCAAACUCAUGCUCUGAGUGAGAGACCACCAACCAUUCGUGAACAGGUGGAGGAACACAACUGGGAACUGGGUGAGUUCUCACAGACCUGCAGGCAGUGUGACAGGAGUAAGCAGUUGUGCUCCCAGCACACAGGAGGCCAGCAAUGAGGAGAGGUAUAACGAGCCAGAUGCAGACCAUGGGCAUUGUUUGAGGAGCAAUAAUGGGAGAUGGCCUGAGCUCUUAGCAAAGGAACCCAACUCACUCAACCUCCAGAAGAGGCAGCAGCAAUGUACCUCCAUGUAGCAGGCUUUUCAAAAUGCCAGUGUUACUUUUCAGAGUGAAAUGGAUUAAUGAUGUUUAGAAUUAGGUCGCUGACUGCCUAGGGAAAUGUACCUUAACCUUUGAUAACCCUCAUUCUGGGAAGUAAAUGUCAAUUAGGGCUUAUUUAAAGGAGACUGACCUUUUUAACCUGCACUACUGUGUGGAAGAUGCAAUUGAUCUAUGGAGAACCUGGGGAAAUGUAUUUUGUUUACCCAGAGAAAAAGAUUGCAGAUAAAUUAACCCUUUUGUUUUCUGACACUCACAUGCCAUUUUAAGGCUGAAUGCAAAGCUGACCAAACCCUUCUAAGCCAUUAGGAAAAUCAGUAAUUGACAUCUCCAGUAGAAGAUCACUAGAAUCUGGUUAGAAUAUGAGGCAAAAAUUGCUCCUUGAGUGCUUCAAAAAUUUCACGUGCUCAUUGCAUUCAUUGUUUGCAGUGGGGAUUCAAGCAUUCAUUACUCUUCUUGCUUUCUGUGGCAUCUAGGCAACUUAAGCACCAUUUAGGAUGAAGUAAGCUGUUUAAAUGCCUACAUUUAGGUGAGAAGAGUUGAACAUUUUGCUAAAGGCUGCUGUGCAACCAUGCACUGAAGAGAAGUUUUACUGCAGACAUUUGUGUGGUGUGACACAUGUAGGUUUGAGAACUUGAUUUUAAAAAGCCAUAACCCCCAGGUUCACAGCAUUCCUUUGAACUAUCCUUAGGGUGAAGCAAGGAGAAAGCUCCUUUUAUCACUUCGCAUUAUUAAUUCAUUAGGAUCUCUUAAUGCCAGUGGUAUGACAUUUCAGUCUCUGUAUAUCAAGCAUUAGUUAUUGUAGCCUCAGGAGUUGUUUUCUGCCAGUCUUUGCAGCUACAGUAAAUGUUUCCUGUAGGUCAGCUUUAAGAUAAUAUCUUACACCCUUUAGCCCUUCUUAAUAUCCUGGAGAAGGAAUGUUUUUCACUUCAGUGUAUUCUAAGGAUUCCUUCUGACUGUAACUAGACAAUGGACAAGGAAUGUGCCUCAGAAGUCAGAGCGAAAGCUGCAGAUAAAGUUCAUUUAACACAUAACAACAUUGAAUAAGAAUUAAUAGAAAUAAGAUAGAAAUACAACGUUUUGUUCUGCACAGUACUGCAGAAUUAUUUCCCAGAAUUAUUUCCCAGAAUUAAUUUUUCCCAGAAAUAAUUCUGGGAAUUAGGUGAAUUGACUUGACUAAGCCUGAUGAGUGUCUCCUGUGCUUGGGUACCACAACAAGUAUUCCUGUUGCCACUAGCUUGGAUUUGGGCUGAAUAUCUCAUUUCAUCUACCUCUGUCACUGCACUGUCUGAGCCUUACAGAACCGUGAGGGCUUUUGUCUUUGCAAGCCUCCUUUGAGCUUGGGAAGGCAUUCUAUCUAGACUUUUCCCAGAUGUGGUACUGAAGCAUGAAAAUGAAGUGAAAAGCAGGAUUGACUGUGAAGUCUGCUACAGGCUGCGCACCUCUGCCUCCUGACACCUGCUCCAGUACCUUCAGCACAAGACUGGUGUUUUUCUCGGUGCCCAGUCUUGGGAUUCCACUGGUCAGUGUAACACUCCUACUGGGCUCCAGCUUUCCUGUCCAAAACAUUUUCAUCCCUUUCAUUUUCCAAAGAACAACAAAGACCUUUGGUCAAGGAAUCUGUACUGUUUGCAGAUUGUGGAAAAAAAUCCAUCUGAAUAGCAAUCUCUCAUGGUAAAGGCAGGAUUAAUGCCCUUUGUAGUAGUGUAACCAUUCACUAAGUGAUAGACAUUUAAUACUGAGAACACUGAAGCUCCAUGGAAGGCAGUAUAAAAUAUUUUAUGUGUUUUUAUUGGACCCUACAGUCCAAUAAAACUGGGAGACAGGCAUUCA